ACCAACGCCCUUUCGGGGCUUCUUGGUGAUUCAUGAUAACUUAACGGAUCGCAUGGCCUUGCGCCGGCGACGGUUCAUUCAAAUUUCUGCCCUAUCAACUUUCGAUGGUAAGGUAUUGGCUUACCAUGGUUUCAACGGGUAACGGGGAAUUAGGGUUCGAUUCCGGAGAGGGAGCCUGAGAAACGGCUGCCACAUCCAAGGAAGGCAGCAGGCGCGCAAAUUACCCAAUCCCAAUACGGGGAGGUAGUGACAAUAAAUACUGAUACAGGGCUCUUUUGGGUCUUGUAAUUGGAAUGAGUACAAUUUAAACCUCUUAACGAGGAACAAUUGGAGGGCAAGUCUGGUGCCAGCAGCCGCGGUAAUUCCAGCUCCAAUAGCGUAUAUUAAAGUUGUUGCAGUUAAAAAGCUCGUAGUUGAACCUUGGGUCUGGCUGGCAGGUCCGCCUCACCGCGUGUACUUGUCCGGCCGGGCCUUCCUUCUGGAGAACCUCAUGCCCUUCACUGGGCGUGUUGGGGACCAGGACUUUUACUUUGAAAAAAUUAGAGUGUUCAAAGCAGGCCUUUGCUCGAAUACGUUAGCAUGGAAUAAUAAAAUAGGACGUGCGGUCCUAUUUUGUUGGUUUCUAGGACCGCCGUAAUGAUUAAUAGGGACAGUCGGGGGCAUCAGUAUUCAAUUGUCAGAGGUGAAAUUCUUGGAUUUAUUGAAGACUAACUACUGCGAAAGCAUUUGCCAAGGAUGUUUUCAUUAAUCAGUGAACGAAAGUUAGGGGAUCGAAGACGAUCAGAUACCGUCGUAGUCUUAACCGUAAACUAUGCCGACUAGGGAUCGGGCGAUGUUCUUUUUCUGACUCGCUCGGCACCUUACGAGAAAUCAAAG
This 876-nucleotide ribosomal RNA is filed under the name Paraophiobolus arundinis. RNAcentral's name for it is "SSU rRNA". It matches the Rfam family "Eukaryotic small subunit ribosomal RNA", at positions 221 to 1103 of the family's 1831-position model. Lineage: Eukaryota; Fungi; Ascomycota; Dothideomycetes; Pleosporales; Phaeosphaeriaceae. The record is from RNAcentral.